Molecule: long non-coding RNA, 1061 nt
Organism: Dunckerocampus dactyliophorus (ringed pipefish)
Lineage: Eukaryota; Metazoa; Chordata; Actinopteri; Syngnathiformes; Syngnathidae
Exons: 3
Source: RefSeq, a predicted model, not a curated record
UGACAGGGCACACCUGCGAGGUGGAUGGAGUAUCUCAGCUCAAGAGAAGCACUCACUAAGACAGAUUUAGGCAUAUUUGUGACUACUGUUGAGAGAAAUGGGCCCUGUGAGUUUUUAUAUGCAGUAUAUCGGAUGGAAGAGUGUGUAAAGAUACCUGCAGAAGACAGCUUUUCUAGAGACAUGUUGGAUUUUCUAUGACAUGUUUUUUUUCCUCCCUACUGUUUGACUAAACACCUACAUCUUCUGAGUGUGGUAGACCUGCAGGGUGCUUGGUUUCGGUCCACGGGGCAGGUGAUAAUGACUUCCCUCCCCUCCCCACUCCUCCUCAUCUCAAGCUGCAGCGGUGAAGUUGCAGGGACAACUGUAUCUUUGCUGUGUCAUCACGCUCGCACGGGACCCGCAGUAGAGUGCCGGAGCUGCGUGGCGGCCAAUGGUGGCAGUGGUCACCCUUGGUCACUCUCCGGCCAACCCACUGGCCAACUAGACAUUUCAGGAUGUCCUGUCUGGGAGGACAAAGCAGACAUGAAACAAGGAAAAGAGAUAUACCGGCUGCACACUGCUGAGCUCUUUCACGGCAAAUGAGGAACGGAUUCCUGUUGACACAACUUUCGGUGUGAAACGCGUUUUUCUUGUUUACAUUCCAGACUACAUUUACAUUCAUCAGGUGACACUUUUGUCUGAAUGGCAUCAUUUUACUACACGACCACCCCAAUCGAAGGCCCAGCCCCCUCCCUCAAAUAUCUGCUCUGGAAGGGCUCGCAAUUGAUUCAUACUGCCGGGACUAUAGAUUAGCACUGACCCAAAAACACAAACUGGAAAACAGUCCUCCUGAGUGAAUUGAGCUUCCGGCAACAACAUCGUGUGCUAAUCGUACCCCCCCAGGGAAGACAGGGAAACACUGGAUUCAUAGUGGUCCUUUGUAAUAGCUUCAAUGCCGUUAAAAGACAGCUAAUAGUUGCAUUUGAGCUGAUCUUGCGACCUUACUUGUGUUAGAUUCCAGGAUACAGACAUGGAGGAUUCACAGUGCAACACAAACAAAGCCCAGGACCACGCACCCAAAA